AGCAAGGAUGGGUCAGGCUUCCUCAUCAACCUCAUCGACUCCCCGGGCCAUGUGGACUUCUCUCCAGAGGUGACUGCUGCCCUGCGAGUCAUGGAUGGUGUCCUGGUGGUGGUGGACUGCGUGUCUGCUGCUUGCAUACAGAUGGAGAUGGUACUGCAAUAGGCCACUGCUGAGCACAUCAAGCCUGUGCUGAUGAUGAACAAGAGGACUGUGCACUGCUGGAGCUGCAGCUGGAGCCUAAGACACUCUACCAGACCUUCCGGCGCAUCGUGGAGAACAUGACCAUCAUCAUCAUCAUCUUCACCUACUGCGAGGGUGAGAAUGGACCCAUGGGCAACAUCAUGAUCGACCCUGUCCUGGGCACAGUGGGCUUUGGCUCCAGCCUGCAUGGCUGGGCUUUCACCCUGAAGCAGUUUGCAGAGAUGUAUGUGGCCAAGCUCACUGCCAAGGGUGAGGGCCAGGUGGGGCCUCCUGAACAUACCAAGAAAGUAGAGGACAUGAUGAAGAGGCUGUGGGGGACCGGUACUUGGACCCAGCCAAUGCUCAUCCUUGACCUCAUCUUCACGCCAUCAUGA
RNA transcript from Nannospalax galili (Upper Galilee mountains blind mole rat), 575 nucleotides. It is a transcript of the gene named elongation factor 2 pseudogene, with no coding region annotated. The transcript is spliced from 2 exons. NCBI's taxonomy places the organism in Eukaryota, Metazoa, Chordata, Mammalia, Rodentia, Spalacidae. The record is from RefSeq and is a predicted model, not a curated record.